UGGGGAAUAUUGCACAAUGGGCGAAAGCCUGAUGCAGCAACGCCGCGUGAGUGAUGAAGGCCUUCGGGUUGUAAAGCUCUGUCUUUUGGGACGAUAAUGACGGUACCAAAGGAGGAAGCCACGGCUAACUACGUGCCAGCAGCCGCGGUAAUACGUAGGUGGCAAGCGUUGUGCCGGAUUUACUGGGCGUAAGGGAUGCGUAGGCGGAUUUUUAAGUGAGAUGUGAAAUACCCGGGCUUAACUUGGGUGCUGCAUUUCAAACUGGGAAUCUAGAGUGCGGGAGAGGAGAAUGGAAUUCCUAGUGUAGCGGUGAAAUGCGUAGAGAUUAGGAAGAACACCAGUGGCGAAGGCGAUUCUCUGGACCGUAACUGACGCUGAGGCAUGAAAGCGUGGGUAGCAAACAGGAUUAGAUACCCUGGUAGUCCACGCCGUAAACGAUGAGUACUAGGUGUAGGAGGUAUCGACCCCUUCUGUGGCCGCAGUUAACACAAUCAAGUACUCCGCCUGGGAAGUACGAUCGCAAGAUUAAAACUUAAAGGAAUUGACGGGGGUCAUAGCUGUUUUCCU
RNAcentral lists this ribosomal RNA (567 nucleotides) under uncultured bacterium. RNAcentral's name for it is "partial 16S ribosomal RNA". It matches the Rfam family "Bacterial small subunit ribosomal RNA", at positions 355 to 939 of the family's 1533-position model. The record is from RNAcentral.